GGUUAAGCGACUAAGCGUACACGGUGGAUGCCCUGGCAGUCAGAGGCGAUGAAGGACGUGCUAAUCUGCGAUAAGCGUCGGUAAGGUGAUAUGAACCGUUAUAACCGGCGAUUUCCGAAUGGGGAAACCCAGUGUGUUUCGACACACUAUCAUUAACUGAAUCCAUAGGUUAAUGAGGCGAACCGGGGGAACUGAAACAUCUAAGUACCCCGAGGAAAAGAAAUCAACCGAGAUUCCCCCAGUAGCGGCGAGCGAACGGGGAGGAGCCCAGAGCCUGAAUCAGUGUGUGUGUUAGUGGAAGCGUCUGGAAAGGCGCGCGAUACAGGGUGACAGCCCCGUACACAAAAAUGCACAUAUUGUGAGCUCGAUGAGUAGGGCGGGACACGUGGUAUCCUGUCUGAAUAUGGGGGGACCAUCCUCCAAGGCUAAAUACUCCUGACUGACCGAUAGUGAACCAGUACCGUGAGGGAAAGGCGAAAAGAACCCCGGCGAGGGGAGUGAAAAAGAACCUGAAACCGUGUACGUACAAGCAGUGGGAGCACGCUUAGGCGUGUGACUGCGUACCUUUUGUAUAAUGGGUCAGCGACUUAUAUUCUGUAGCAAGGUUAACCGAAUAGGGGAGCCGAAGGGAAACCGAGUCUUAACUGGGCGUUAAGUUGCAGGGUAUAGACCCGAAACCCGGUGAUCUAGCCAUGGGCAGGUUGAAGGUUGGGUAACACUAACUGGAGGACCGAACCGACUAAUGUUGAAAAAUUAGCGGAUGACUUGUGGCUGGGGGUGAAAGGCCAAUCAAACCGGGAGAUAGCUGGUUCUCCCCGAAAGCUAUUUAGGUAGCGCCUCGUGAAUUCAUCUCCGGGGGUAGAGCACUGUUUCGGCAAGGGGGUCAUCCCGACUUACCAACCCGAUGCAAACUGCGAAUACCGGAGAAUGUUAUCACGGGAGACACACGGCGGGUGCUAACGUCCGUCGUGAAGAGGGAAACAACCCAGACCGCCAGCUAAGGUCCCAAAGUCAUGGUUAAGUGGGAAACGAUGUGGGAAGGCCCAGACAGCCAGGAUGUUGGCUUAGAAGCAGCCAUCAUUUAAAGAAAGCGUAAUAGCUCACUGGUCGAGUCGGCCUGCGCGGAAGAUGUAACGGGGCUAAACCAUGCACCGAAGCUGCGGCAGCGACGCUGAUGCGUUGUUGGGUAGGGGAGCGUUCUGUAAGCCUGCGAAGGUGUGCUGUGAGGCAUGCUGGAGGUAUCAGAAGUGCGAAUGCUGACAUAAGUAACGAUAAAGCGGGUGAAAAGCCCGCUCGCCGGAAGACCAAGGGUUCCUGUCCAACGUUAAUCGGGGCAGGGUGAGUCGACCCCUAAGGCGAGGCCGAAAGGCGUAGUCGAUGGGAAACAGGUUAAUAUUCCUGUACUUGGUGUUACUGCGAAGGGGGGACGGAGAAGGCUAUGUUGGCCGGGCGACGGUUGUCCCGGUUUAAGCGUGUAGGCUGGUUUUCCAGGCAAAUCCGGAAAAUCAAGGCUGAGGCGUGAUGACGAGGCACUACGGUGCUGAAGCAACAAAUGCCCUGCUUCCAGGAAAAGCCUCUAAGCAUCAGGUAACAUCAAAUCGUACCCCAAACCGACACAGGUGGUCAGGUAGAGAAUACCAAGGCGCUUGAGAGAACUCGGGUGAAGGAACUAGGCAAAAUGGUGCCGUAACUUCGGGAGAAGGCACGCUGAUAUGUAGGUGAAGUCCCUUGCGGAUGGAGCUGAAAUCAGUCGAAGAUACCAGCUGGCUGCAACUGUUUAUUAAAAACACAGCACUGUGCAAACACGAAAGUGGACGUAUACGGUGUGACGCCUGCCCGGUGCCGGAAGGUUAAUUGAUGGGGUCAGCGCAAGCGAAGCUCUUGAUCGAAGCCCCGGUAAACGGCGGCCGUAACUAUAACGGUCCUAAGGUAGCGAAAUUCCUUGUCGGGUAAGUUCCGACCUGCACGAAUGGCGUAAUGAUGGCCAGGCUGUCUCCACCCGAGACUCAGUGAAAUUGAACUCGCUGUGAAGAUGCAGUGUACCCGCGGCAAGACGGAAAGACCCCGUGAACCUUUACUAUAGCUUGACACUGAACAUUGAGCCUUGAUGUGUAGGAUAGGUGGGAGGCUUGGAAGUGUGGACGCCAGUCUGCAUGGAGCCGACCUUGAAAUACCACCCUUUAAUGUUUGAUGUUCUAACGUUGACCCGUGAUCCGGGUUGCGGACAGUGUCUGGUGGGUAGUUUGACUGGGGCGGUCUCCUCCUAAAGAGUAACGGAGGAGCACGAAGGUUGGCUAAUCCUGGUCGGACAUCAGGAGGUUAGUGCAAUGGCAUAAGCCAGCUUGACUGCGAGCGUGACGGCGCGAGCAGGUGCGAAAGCAGGUCAUAGUGAUCCGGUGGUUCUGAAUGGAAGGGCCAUCGCUCAACGGAUAAAAGGUACUCCGGGGAUAACAGGCUGAUACCGCCCAAGAGUUCAUAUCGACGGCGGUGUUUGGCACCUCGAUGUCGGCUCAUCACAUCCUGGGGCUGAAGUAGGUCCCAAGGGUAUGGCUGUUCGCCAUUUAAAGUGGUACGCGAGCUGGGUUUAGAACGUCGUGAGACAGUUCGGUCCCUAUCUGCCGUGGGCGCUGGAGAACUGAGGGGGGCUGCUCCUAGUACGAGAGGACCGGAGUGGACGCAUCACUGGUGUUCGGGUUGUCAUGCCAAUGGCACUGCCCGGUAGCUAAAUGCGGAAGAGAUAAGUGCUGAAAGCAUCUAAGCACGAAACUUGCCCCGAGAUGAGUUCUCCCUGACUCCUUGAGAGUCCUGAAGGAACGUUGAAGACGACGACGUUGAUAGGCCGGGUGUGUAAGCGCAGCGAUGCGUUGAGCUAACCGGUACUAAUGAACCGUGAGGCUUAACCUU
RNAcentral lists this ribosomal RNA (2904 nucleotides) under Escherichia coli ETEC H10407. RNAcentral's name for it is "bacterial LSU rRNA". It matches the Rfam family "Bacterial large subunit ribosomal RNA". Lineage: Bacteria; Pseudomonadati; Pseudomonadota; Gammaproteobacteria; Enterobacterales; Enterobacteriaceae. The record is from RNAcentral.